Molecule: small nuclear RNA, 165 nt
Organism: Bombyx mandarina (wild silkworm)
Lineage: Eukaryota; Metazoa; Arthropoda; Insecta; Lepidoptera; Bombycidae
Source: RefSeq, a predicted model, not a curated record
ACUCUUACCUGGCGUAGGGGAUACCAUGAUUAUGCAGGCGGUUCCCCCAGGGCGAGGCUGCUCCAUUGCACUGCGGAGUGGUGGACCCUUGCGAUUAUUUUUAUUUUUAUCAAUAAAAAAAUCAUUUUGGGGAAGCUUAACGACAGUGAGAAGAUCUUCCACCGA